Molecule: long non-coding RNA, 565 nt
Organism: Bos taurus (domestic cattle)
Lineage: Eukaryota; Metazoa; Chordata; Mammalia; Artiodactyla; Bovidae
Source: Ensembl
GAAGUAUCCUUUCCCAUUUUGCUGACCAUGUACCUGGUGCAGGACUUAUGAAGCAAAGGAGGAAAUCUGGAAAUAGCUUUAAGAGCCACAGUCACAGUUAUGGCCCUAACCCAAGGGUGAUUUGGACACAUUCAGAGGAACCAAUGCCAUAUAACUAGGGAGGUGGAGACUGGAGUGAUUCAUCUAAGUAAAGGAGCACCAAAGAUUACUGGAUAUCACCAGAAGCUAGGAGAGAGACAUGAAACAUAUUCUCAGAGUCUCCAAAAGAACCAACCCUGCUAACACCUUGAUUUUGGACUUCAAGCCUCCAGACUAUAAGAAUUGGCUUGUGCAAUUGUGGAGUAGGGUGAGUCCAAAAUCUCCAGGAUGGACUGACAAGCUACAGACCCAGAGAUCUUCUACUGUGGUUUGAAUCUGAAAGCCUAUCAGACUGAAGACCCAAAGAAGAGCUGAUGCUGCAGCUGAAAUCUAAAGGCUGUCUCCUGGCAGAAUUAUCUUUUGCUCAAAAGAGGUCAGUCUUCGGUUUUAUUGAGGCUGUCAACUGAUUGGAUGAGGCCCACCUACA